Puccinia graminis f. sp. tritici is the source of this 90-nucleotide transfer RNA. It matches the Rfam family "tRNA". Rfam says of the family: Transfer RNA (tRNA) molecules are approximately 80 nucleotides in length. Their secondary structure includes four short double-helical elements and three loops (D, anti-codon, and T loops). NCBI's taxonomy places the organism in Eukaryota, Fungi, Basidiomycota, Pucciniomycetes, Pucciniales, Pucciniaceae. The record is from Rfam.
GCGUUGUUGGUGUAGUGGUUAGCAUUGAAGCCUUCCACCCCCGUCGGGGAGAACCAGCUUUAGUCCGGGGUUCGAAUCCCCGACAACGCA